RNAcentral lists this ribosomal RNA (391 nucleotides) under uncultured eukaryote. Its description in RNAcentral is "partial 18S ribosomal RNA". It matches the Rfam family "Eukaryotic small subunit ribosomal RNA", at positions 592 to 976 of the family's 1831-position model. The record is from RNAcentral.
CAAUAGCGUAUAUUAAAGUUGUUGCAGUUAAAAAGCUCGUAGUUGGAUUUCUGUGAGAGUGCCGGUGUCGGCUGAUGCUUGUACGCAGGCGCUCUUACAUCCUUCUGUUAACUGUUCUUGGCAUUUUAUUGCUGGUUCAGGGCUCAGAUAUUUUACCUUGAGAAAAUUAGAGUGUUUCAGGCAGGCUUAUGCCGGAAUACAUUAGCAUGGAAUAAUGGAACAGGACCUGUGCGUCUCUCGGGGCGCCGGUCUCCGUUGUUGGUUUCGGGGACUAAUGUAAUGAUUAAUAGGGAUAGUUGGGGGCAUUAGUAUUUAAUAGUCAGAGGUGAAAUUCUCGGAUUCGUUAAAGACUAACUUAUGCGAAAGCAUUUGCCAAGGAUGUUUUCAUUAA